AAGUCGAGGGGCAGCAUAAAUUACUUGUAAUUUGAUGGCGACCGGCGAACGGGUGCGUAACGCGUAUGCAACUUACCUUUUACUAGAGAAUAGCCAAGAGAAAUUUUGAUUAAUGCUCUAUGUUCUUAUUUACUCGCAUGAGUAAAUAAGCAAAGCUCCGGCGGUAAAAGAUGGGCAUGCGUCCUAUUAGCUUGUAGGUGAGGUAAUGGCUCACCUAAGCUCCGAUAGGUAGGGGUCCUGAGAGGGAGAUCCCCCACACUGGUACUGAGACACGGACCAGACUUCUACGGAAGGCAGCAGUAAGGAAUAUUGGACAAUGGAGGCAACUCUGAUCCAGCCAUGCCGCGUGAAGGAAGACGGCCUUAUGGGUUGUAAACUUCUUUUAUACAGGAAGAAACCUUUCCACGUGUGGAAAGCUGACGGUACUGUAAGAAUAAGGAUCGGCUAACUCCGUACCAGCAGCCGCGGUAAUACGGAGGAUCCAAGCGUUAUCCGGAAUUAUUGGGUUUAAAGGGUCCGCAAGCUGUUUGUUA
This 533-nucleotide ribosomal RNA is filed under the name uncultured bacterium. RNAcentral describes it as "bacterial SSU rRNA". It matches the Rfam family "Bacterial small subunit ribosomal RNA", at positions 59 to 585 of the family's 1533-position model. The record is from RNAcentral.